Molecule: long non-coding RNA, 1400 nt
Filed under: Homo sapiens (human)
Lineage: Eukaryota; Metazoa; Chordata; Mammalia; Primates; Hominidae
Description: HSALNT0234636
Source: RNAcentral
ACCCAGGCCCAGGAGCUUCCGUGACUCAUCUAUCCAAGAUCACACAAAAUCCUGGUGUCCCUCCGCCCUGGACCGGCAGCGUCGGGGACAGAAAACCAAAACACAGGCAAAUUGCCAAACCACACAGCCAGAGAAGCCAGAAAGCUCCAGGGAGGACCCUCAGUGCCCACAGGGUGGGGUUGGAGGCACCGAGCGACCACCCAGUCCCCCACCCAGCACUGCAGCACUCACCUAGCCCAGCGCCUGGCAGAGGGAAGGGCCCAAUCCCUGUUUGUUCACAGAACGAACGGGGGAGAGAGAACGCCAAUCCACUACCACUGCUGGGAAAGACACCCGGAGUUCUGCACCGCCCACCAGGGGUCUCUCUCCCAGGACCUGUGCUGAGGGUCUCUGGGUUCAAAUCCUUCCCUGAAUUUCAGUGAGGCCUUAAGGAGGAGAAGACCACAGGCCUCCCACAGGAGACAGGAUCAGAGAAGUCAAGCGAUCUCUCCAAAGUCACACAGCAGCGAUCCAAACCCCAGGCAUGCUGGCCCCAGUGCCCCCAGCUCACAACCACUACACCUGGCCCCUCCUCAAAGGCUACCAGUGUUUCCUGAAUGCAUCUCAGCUGGGCUGGGAACAAGGCAUUUGGGCUUCAUAAGCGUCCAUUCCGGAAGAGAGGGCAGGAGCUGCCGCCCACUCCGAUUUCCAAUCAAUCUCACUUGGCAAGCGUUGCUUACUUCAUCUGGGCCUAUGGAAAUUGGAUUCUCAGGUGACCCUGUGGCCAAAGGUGGCCAGACAGGGCCACGACCGCAGCCGGAUCUGGGAGCCGGGGCUCUGAUCUUCCCCGCCCCCCAUGCGGCCUCGGCCCAGCUGCCGGCUGCCAUCCCAGGGAGGCCCUGAGGUUUCCCAGCCAUCCCUUGGCUUUGUUUUUCUGGGCCCUUCCAGGCCCAGAACCAUCCAGAAAAGUCGGUUAGGCCAGGAACAGCUGCCUGGCGCCUCUUGAAUGGCUCAGAUGUGGUGCGCGGUGGGGCCCCAAGCCAAUACACUGCCACUAGGUGAAACGGGCACCAUUAGAGUCACAAAGACCAAUUAAAAUGAGAGGAAAAACAGCCUUCCGUUCUCCCAGGGCACCCCGGCCAGCUGCUCCCUGCUCCCACCUCACUGGCCCCAGGGGCUGCUCCCGGCCCGGUUUCCAGCCCGGCUCCCUCCUGCGCCCGGCCACCUGCCUUUGACAGAGUCAAUAUUGACGCCUGAGAGGCCUCCUGCUCAGGCGAGUGAGGGCUGAGCGGGUGGAGGGGCGGGGAGAGGCAAACAGCUCCUGGAUUUUCGACUCAAUUGCUGCGCGUAGAGAUGAGAAAUUGCCUUUCUGACCCAAAACCGGAGUUCACAGCUGCACUUCAUUACCGAUUUCUCCAGGA